GCUUACCAUGCAGUCGAACGAUGAACCUCNGAGCUUGCUCUAGGGGAUUAGUGGCGAACGGGUGAGUAACACGUGAGUAACCUGCCCUUGACUCUGGGAUAACCUCCGGAAACGGAAGCUAAUACCGGAUAUGACGUACGGAGGCAUCUCCUGUACGUGGAAAGAAUUUCGGUCAAGGAUGGACUCGCGGCCUAUCAGGUAGUUGGUGAGGUAACGGCCCACCAAGCCUACGACGGGUAGCCGGCCUGAGAGGGUGACCGGCCACACUGGGACUGAGACACGGCCCAGACUCCUACGGGAGGCAGCAGUGGGGAAUAUUGCACAAUGGGCGCAAGCCUGAUGCAGCAACGCCGCGUGAGGGAUGACGGCCUUCGGGUUGUAAACCUCUUUUAGUAGGGAAGAAGCGAAAGUGACGGUACCUGCAGAAAAAGCACCGGCUAACUACGUGCCAGCAGCCGCGGUAAUACGUAGGGUGCGAGCGUUGUCCGGAAUUAUUGGGCGUAAAGAGCUCGUAGGCGGUCUGUCGCGUCUGCUGUGAAAACCCGAGGCUCAACCUCGGGCCUGCAGUGGGUACGGGCAGACUAGAGUGCGGUAGGGGAGAAUGGAAUUCCUGGUGUAGCGGUGGAAUGCGCAGAUAUCAGGAGGAACACCGAUGGCGAAGGCAGUUCUCUGGGCCGUAACUGACGCUGAGGAGCGAAAGCGUGGGGAGCGAACAGGAUUAGAUACCCUGGUAGUCCACGCCGUAAACGUUGGGCGCUAGAUGUGGGGACCAUUCCACGGUUUCCGUGUCGCAGCUAACGCAUUAAGCGCCCCGCCUGGGGAGUACGGCCGCAAGGCUAAAACUCAAAGGAAUUGACGGGGGCCCGCACAAGCGGCGGAGCAUGCGGAUUAAUUCGAUGCAACGCGAAGAACCUUACCAAGGCUUGACAUAUACGAGAACGGGCCAGAAAUGGUCAACUCUUUGGACACUCGUAAACAGGUGGUGCAUGGUUGUCGUCAGCUCGUGUCGUGAGAUGUUGGGUUAAGUCCCGCAACGAGCGCAACCCUCGUUCUAUGUUGCCAGCACGUAAUGGUGGGAACUCAUAGGAGACUGCCGGGGUCAACUCGGAGGAAGGUGGGGAUGACGUCAAAUCAUCAUGCCCCUUAUGUCUUGGGCUUCACGCAUGCUACAAUGGCCGGUACAAAGGGCUGCAAUACCGUAAGGUGGAGCGAAUCCCAAAAAGCCGGUCUCAGUUCGGAUUGAGGUCUGCAACUCGACCUCAUGAAGUCGGAGUCGCUAGUAAUCGCAGAUCAGCAACGCUGCGGUGAAUACGUUCCCGGGCCUUGUACACACCGCCCGUCAAGUCAUGAAAGUCGGUAACACCCGAAGCCG
Molecule: ribosomal RNA, 1372 nt
Filed under: Leifsonia sp. ATSB20
Lineage: Bacteria; Bacillati; Actinomycetota; Actinomycetes; Micrococcales; Microbacteriaceae
Description: bacterial SSU rRNA
Rfam family: Bacterial small subunit ribosomal RNA
Source: RNAcentral